RNAcentral lists this ribosomal RNA (220 nucleotides) under uncultured Lactobacillus sp. RNAcentral's name for it is "partial 16S ribosomal RNA". It matches the Rfam family "Bacterial small subunit ribosomal RNA", at positions 142 to 354 of the family's 1533-position model. The record is from RNAcentral. Lineage: Bacteria; Bacillati; Bacillota; Bacilli; Lactobacillales; Lactobacillaceae.
AUAACCACCUGGAAACAGAUGCUAAUACCGGAUAACAACAGAUGAUGCCUAUCAACUGUUUAAAAGNUGGUUCUGCUAUCACUCUUGGAUGGACCUGCGGUGCAUUAGCUAGUUGGUAGGGUAACGGCCUACCAAGGCGAUGAUGCAUAGCCGAGUUGAGAGACUGAUCGGCCACAUUGGGACUGAGACACGGCCCAAACUCCUACGGGAGGCAGCAGGC